Molecule: ribosomal RNA, 491 nt
Filed under: uncultured bacterium
Lineage: Bacteria
Description: partial 16S ribosomal RNA
Rfam family: Bacterial small subunit ribosomal RNA
Source: RNAcentral
AGUGAACGCUGGCGGUAGGCCUAACACAUGCAAGUCGAACGGCAGCACAGUAAGAGCUUGCUCUUACGGGUGGCGAGUGGCGGACGGGUGAGGAAUACAUCGGAAUCUACUUUUUCGUGGGGGAUAACGUAGGGAAACUUACGCUAAUACCGCAUACGACCUACGGGUGAAAGCAGGGGAUCUUCGGACCUUGCGCGAUUGAAUGAGCCGAUGUCGGAUUAGCUAGUUGGCGGGGUAAAGGCCCACCAAGGCGACGAUCCGUAGCUGGUCUGAGAGGAUGAUCAGCCACACUGGAACUGAGACACGGUCCAGACUCCUACGGGAGGCAGCAGUGGGGAAUAUUGGACAAUGGGCGCAAGCCUGAUCCAGCCAUGCCGCGUGGGUGAAGAAGGCCUUCGGGUUGUAAAGCCCUUUUGUUGGGAAAGAAAAGCAGCAGGUUAAUACCCCGCUGUUCUGACGGUACCCAAAGAAUAAGCACCGGCGAACUUCGU